This 1389-nucleotide long non-coding RNA is filed under the name Ananas comosus (pineapple). RNAcentral's name for it is "long non-coding RNA (ACOM_LNC043501)". The record is from RNAcentral. Lineage: Eukaryota; Viridiplantae; Streptophyta; Magnoliopsida; Poales; Bromeliaceae.
AGGGGAAAAAAAAAAUCAAUUUUAUUUGAUUUUUUUUCUUAAAGAAAAAUAUAGCAUGUUGUCUGCUUCAUUCAUUCGAAAUAUAACUAGACUACAUGAGCGAGGUACUAGACGUCAGUCGAGAUGAAGAAAGAAGAAAAAAAAAAGAAAUGGUUAACUGAAUACGAAAUAGCUACUUUGCUGAGAUAAAUUCCCCACAAGUUUUUGAAGUACCUGAUUUUAUUGACUGCUACAAAUGGGUCCGCACUAACUUUUCUAAAAAUCACAUCAUUUUUAACAUUCCAAAUAACUCAUCACCAGGCUAUCAGUUCGAUCAGCCUAGAACGAAUAGACUGAGUUCUAUAUCUUGACGUCUAAUUAUUCCAAAUGACAGUCACAUCAUCACCCAAAUUUAUAAACUGGAUCCUCUGUAAGGCUGUCACCACUAGAAAUUUACUAAAUAUGCAUUGCUCCCUACUGGUUUAGUCCAAUUUCAGUUUACUACCCCCUGUGGUUCAAAAAAUAUCACUCCGCCCCUCUAUGAUAUAGUUCAUUUUUAUUGCGCUACCCUGUAGUUUAAAAAAUUACACUUUGCUUUUAUGUGGCUUAGCUCGUUUUCUACUUUACCAUUUUGUGGCUUUUUAAAAGUUUUUUACUUUGCUAUCUUACUUCAUAUAGAAUUUUUGGGUACAGUAGAAAUUAAACCACAAGGGGUUAAAGAGAAAGUUUUUGUUACGACAAACGCACAAACGGAAACGAAAUGACGAACACAAAAACAAUCAAACCACAAGCAGAAAAAUAAAGAGACACAGAUUUACGUGGAAAACCCUUUUGCAGAGAAAAACCACGGGCGAGGGAGGAGAGAACUUCACUAUGGAAUGAAAAGAGAAUACAAUGUUCUUCAGGUUACAACCAACCACGAUCACACGCCUCUAGGGCAUAAACGAUAAACGAAAAAGAAAAACUCAUAACAGGUUUCGGAUCCGAUCCGUACCGCGGGGGGCUCCGCUACCCACCAUAGACAUUCAUUUUUCCUCCAUAAUUUUCUUUUCCAAAUUGGUCGCACCGCGAAGCUGUCGGCGAGUCGUAAACCCGAACCUGAAUCGAUAGUAGAUUUCGAGUCGCAUCUAACAGUUUUCAAACCAUAGGAUGAUAGAGAAAAAAUAAGGUACAUCGUAUAGAAAAAACUUUGGAGUUUACCCUAUUUUUAAUGCAUGCAUCACUAUUCUGGCUUAAUUUAUUUUCGGGUCUAAAAUAAACUAACUAAAUACCUUUAGCUAGUAUAUUAUAUGUAUGUAUCUUUGCUUUUCGAGGGCUAGCUAAAGGUCAGAGAAUUGAAUCCCUGCUUAUGUAUUUUUAUAAAAUGGAUUUCGAACCAGCGGCUUUUUGCGUAAAAAAUUCUUGUGACAU